GACGAACGCUGGCGGCGUGCUUAACACAUGCAGGUCGAGCGGUAAGGCCCUUUCGGGGGUACACGAGCGGCGAACGGGUGAGUAACACGUGGGUGACCUGCCCUCAGUUCUGGGAUAAGCCUGGGAAACCGGGUCUAAUACUGGAUAUGACCUCAUGACGCAUGUUGUGGGGUGGAAAGCCUUGUGCGACUGAGGAUGGGCCCGCGGCCUAUCAGCUUGUUGGUGGGGUGAUGGCCUACCAAGGCGACGACGGGUAGCCGGCCUGAGAGGGCGACCGGCCACACUGGGACUGAGACACGGCCCAGACUCCUACGGGAGGCAGCAGUGGGGAAUCUUGCGCAAUGGGCGAAAGCCUGACGCAGCGACGCCGCGUGAGGGAUGACGGCCUCG
This 390-nucleotide ribosomal RNA is filed under the name uncultured bacterium. Its description in RNAcentral is "bacterial SSU rRNA". It matches the Rfam family "Bacterial small subunit ribosomal RNA", at positions 28 to 419 of the family's 1533-position model. The record is from RNAcentral.